AUGGGGAUGGCGUACGAGCACCAGUGUCUGCCGUUCGGCUACUCCCUGGCUCCGCGCACCUUCUCAAAGUGUGUGGAGACGGUGUUGGAACCGCUCAGGCGUCAGGGAAAGAGGAUUCUCUUCUACCUAGACGACCUGCUUAUUCUGAGCAACUCAGAGGAGACCACGAGAAGGGACACCAUGUUGGUGAUAAACCAUCUCUCCUUCCUGGGUUUUGCCAUCAACUGGGAGAAGAGCUCCCCGCUCCCCAGCCGGCAGACAGUCUACUUGGGGCUUUGCCUAGACUCAGCCACCAUGACUGCGAUGCUUUCGCCUCCUCGGAGAGACACCAUCCUGUCGGCGCUCCCCCGUUUUCGCGUUCGCAGAAACGUGACCGCACUGUCCACCAUGCGCCUGAUAGGACUGAUGGCAGCUGCCCACCCCGUGGUCCCGCUGGGUCUGCUUUUUAUGCGCAGACUCCAACGGUGGUUUGCUCGCCAACGGUUGGACCCCAGGCGACACAAGCUCAGGGUGCUCCUCGUUCUCCGUUCGGUGUCGCCAGACCUGGAAUAUUGGAAAAAUCCCCCCGCCCUACUCAGGGGUGUUCCCCUGGGCAGGGUGGCGUCCUACGUAGUGGUCUUCACGGACGCCUCGUUGACGUGUUUCGGAGGAACGUGCCUCUCUAUCUCGGUCGGAGACGAGUGGCGCACGCCCCCUGCAGCACACAUAAAUGUUGGAGCUCGACGCUGUGAGGAAGUGCUGUUGCAUUUCUUUCACCUGGUGCGCGGCCGCCACGUUCUGAUCAGGACAGACAGCGUGUCGGCGGCGGCGUACAUCAACAGACAGGGGGGAGUCCGCUCCCCUGCUCUCCACCGAAAGGCGGUCAAGCUCUGGCUUUGGGCUCACCAGUAUCUCCUCAGUCUGAGAGCCCUGCAUAUCGCGGGCGCCCAGAACUUUGGGGCGGACCUCAUGUCUCGCGGCGGUCCCCAUCGAGACGAGUGGCGGUUACAUCCCGACAUUGUCAGACUGAUCUGGCAGAGGUUCGGGACGGCGCAGGUGGACCUCUUCGCGUCCAGGGAGAACACGCACUGCAGGUGGUGGUUCUCCCUCAGCCCUCGGGAUCUUCCCCCGUUGGGGGUAGAUGCGUUGGCACACACACCUUGGCCGCGGGCUCUCUUGUUUGCGUUUCCCCCGCUCCAGCUGAUCCUUCCUCUUCUGGAACGGGUCAGACAGGAGAGACUGUCCCUAAUAAUAGUGGCCCCGGAGAACCGUUCAGCUCUGUGGUUUCCAGAGCUGGCUGCGCUCUCGCGGUCGGCGCCGUGGCCGGUACCGUUCAGGCCGGAUGCGCUUUCACAGGCCCACGGGACGGUGCACCAUCCGCCCGAUGUCUCGGUACGGCUGUUGGUUUGGCUCCUGAGAGGUUGA
Molecule: long non-coding RNA, 1404 nt
Filed under: Gadus morhua (Atlantic cod)
Lineage: Eukaryota; Metazoa; Chordata; Actinopteri; Gadiformes; Gadidae
Description: lncRNA (ENSGMOG00000026332.1)
Source: RNAcentral